Small nuclear RNA from Phyllostomus discolor (pale spear-nosed bat), 107 nucleotides. NCBI's taxonomy places the organism in Eukaryota, Metazoa, Chordata, Mammalia, Chiroptera, Phyllostomidae. The record is from RefSeq and is a predicted model, not a curated record.
GUGCUCACUUUGGCGGCACAUAUACUAAAAAUUAGAAUGAUACAGAGAAGAUUAGCAUGGCCUCUGCACAAGGAUGACCGCAAAUCCAUGGAGCAUUCCACGUUUUU